This 1059-nucleotide ribosomal RNA is filed under the name uncultured bacterium. Its description in RNAcentral is "bacterial SSU rRNA". It matches the Rfam family "Bacterial small subunit ribosomal RNA", at positions 24 to 1060 of the family's 1533-position model. The record is from RNAcentral.
UCAGAUUGAACGCUGGCGGCAGGCCUAACACAUGCAAGUCGAGCGGCAGCGACAACAUUGAACCUUCGGGGGAUUUGUUGGGCGGCGAGCGGCGGACGGGUGAGUAAUGCCUAGGAAAUUGCCCUGAUGUGGGGGAUAACCAUUGGAAACGAUGGCUAAUACCGCAUGAUGCCUACGGGCCAAAGAGGGGGACCUUCGGGCCUCUCGCGUCAGGAUAUGCCUAGGUGGGAUUAGCUAGUUGGUGAGGUAAGGGCUCACCAAGGCGACGAUCCCUAGCUGGUCUGAGAGGAUGAUCAGCCACACUGGAACUGAGACACGGUCCAGACUCCUACGGGAGGCAGCAGUGGGGAAUAUUGCACAAUGGGCGCAAGCCUGAUGCAGCCAUGCCGCGUGUGUGAAGAAGGCCUUCGGGUUGUAAAGCACUUUCAGUAGGGAGGAAGGUUACGAUGCGUUAAUAGCGUAAGGAUUUGACGUUACCUACAGAAGAAGCACCGGCUAACUCCGUGCCAGCAGCCGCGGUAAUACGGAGGGUGCGAGCGUUAAUCGGAAUUACUGGGCGUAAAGCGCAUGCAGGUGGUUUGUUAAGUCAGAUGUGAAAGCCCAGGGCUCAACCUUGGAAUUGCAUUUGAAACUGGCAAACUAGAGUACUGUAGAGGGGGGUAGAAUUUCAGGUGUAGCGGUGAAAUGCGUAGAGAUCUGAAGGAAUACCGGUGGCGAAGGCGGCCCCCUGGACAGAUACUGACACUCAGAUGCGAAAGCGUGGGGAGCAAACAGGAUUAGAUACCCUGGUAGUCCACGCCGUAAACGAUGUCUACUUGGAGGUUGUGGCCUUGAGCCGUGGCUUUCGGAGCUAACGCGUUAAGUAGACCGCCUGGGGAGUACGGUCGCAAGAUUAAAACUCAAAUGAAUUGACGGGGGCCCGCACAAGCGGUGGAGCAUGUGGUUUAAUUCGAUGCAACGCGAAGAACCUUACCUACUCUUGACAUCCASAGAAGCUUGCGGAGACGCGAGUGUGCCUUCGGGAACUNUGAGACAGGUGCUGCAUGGCUGUUGUCAGCU